UGGUGUAGCUCAGUCGGUAGAGCAGCUGAUUUGUAAUCAGCAGGUCGGGGGUUCAAGUCCGUCCACC
This 67-nucleotide transfer RNA is filed under the name Candidatus Anaerotruncus excrementipullorum. It matches the Rfam family "tRNA". From Rfam's summary of the family: Transfer RNA (tRNA) molecules are approximately 80 nucleotides in length. Their secondary structure includes four short double-helical elements and three loops (D, anti-codon, and T loops). Further hydrogen bonds mediate the characteristic L-shaped molecular structure. tRNAs have two regions of fundamental functional importance: the anti-codon, which is responsible for specific mRNA codon recognition, and the 3' end, to which the tRNAs corresponding amino acid is attached (by aminoacyl-tRNA synthetases). tRNAs cope with the degeneracy of the genetic code in two manners: having more than one tRNA (with a specific anti-codon) for a particular amino acid; and 'wobble' base-pairing, i.e. permitting non-standard base-pairing at the 3rd anti-codon position. RNAcentral also lists the same sequence under 2 other names. The record is from RNAcentral. Lineage: Bacteria; Bacillati; Bacillota; Clostridia; Eubacteriales; Oscillospiraceae.